Molecule: long non-coding RNA, 303 nt
Filed under: Zostera marina
Lineage: Eukaryota; Viridiplantae; Streptophyta; Magnoliopsida; Alismatales; Zosteraceae
Description: long non-coding RNA (ZMAR_LNC002385)
Source: RNAcentral
GGGAGUUCGGGUUCCUCUUCUUAUAGUUCUUCCUCUCCCGAACGGGAUGUAGAAAUCGGGGGUACUCCUCCUUUUCCCACUGGGACUCCUUUGUCCACCGCCAUUGUUUUGGCUCCCAUUCCGGAGGAUGUCCCUGUUGUUGAAGUGUCUGCCCUGGCCACGGACGAUUCUACCCAACUUCCUCUUGAAGCCCGUGGUCAAAACAUUCAUGUGUUAGAGGACUCUCCCGUAGGUUAUCCUCCUGAGACAGAGGAGAAGUACCCUUUUCCGUCUCCUCUUGAGGAGAGAGGCGCCCCAUCUUUC